RNAcentral lists this transfer-messenger RNA (345 nucleotides) under bovine gut metagenome. It matches the Rfam family "transfer-messenger RNA". From Rfam's summary of the family: Bacterial tmRNA, also known as 10Sa RNA or SsrA, is named for its dual tRNA and mRNA-like properties. Its role is to liberate the mRNA from a stalled ribosome. The record is from RNAcentral.
GGGGUUGUACUGGUUUCGACGGGGGUUUUGAGAUUCGAGGAGCCAUUCGCAGACCGUGACUGCGCAUCAAAACGGAAUUAAAUAUAAACGCCAACAAUAACGUUGCGUUAGCCGCUUAAUUGCGGCUUGUCGGCCCGGGGCCACUCGACACCCCGGUCAACCGGCAUCAUGAAGUCGGGGAACUGCCGGCCUUAAGCUUAGCGGGCCGGAUGGAUAAAAUGAAGCUACUGAAAUCCGUAGUUUGUUUGUGAACGCCGGACGGAGGGAAUGUCAAAGCACAAACUAUGAUGGUAGAGCCUGGUAUGGAUGGACUUUCGGACAGGGGUUCGAUUCCCCUCAGCUCCA